RNAcentral lists this long non-coding RNA (251 nucleotides) under Elaeis guineensis (African oil palm). Its description in RNAcentral is "long non-coding RNA (EGUI_LNC067062)". Lineage: Eukaryota; Viridiplantae; Streptophyta; Magnoliopsida; Arecales; Arecaceae. The record is from RNAcentral.
UGAUAUGAACUAAUAUGCAUGUAUCCAAAAUUAAAAUCUAAAAUUCAACAAGUAAGAUCAUAUCUAUGUGUAAUUAGAUCAUAUCUAAUUCAUAUUUAGAUCACAUCUAAAAAUUAAUUGAAAUUAAAAUCUCAUACCUGAAUGCGGAUAGUAGAUCAUCGAUUUGAAAUUCAUAAUAGUUGGUUCUUCAUGAUGCUUGGCAGCCGCACAUGCGUCCGACCUCUACGGGUAUCCACAUGAAGUCCUUGUAU